Molecule: ribosomal RNA, 556 nt
Filed under: uncultured bacterium
Lineage: Bacteria
Description: partial 16S ribosomal RNA
Rfam family: Bacterial small subunit ribosomal RNA
Source: RNAcentral
UGGGGAAUAUUGCACAAUGGGCGCAAGCCUGAUGCAGCCAUGCCGCGUGUGUGAAGAAGGCCUUCGGGUUGUAAAGCACUUUCAGCGAGGAGGAAGGGUUCAGUGUUAAUAGCACUGUUCAUUGACGUUACUCGCAGAAGAAGCACCGGCUAACUCCGUGCCAGCAGCCGCGGUAAUACGGAGGGUGCAAGCGUUAAUCGGAAUUACUGGGCGUAAAGCGCACGCAGGCGGUUUGUUAAGUCAGAUGUGAAAUCCCCGCGCUUAACGUGGGAACUGCAUUUGAAACUGGCAAGCUAGAGUCUUGUAGAGGGGGGUAGAAUUCCAGGUGUAGCGGUGAAAUGCGUAGAGAUCUGGAGGAAUACCGGUGGCGAAGGCGGCCCCCUGGACAAAGACUGACGCUCAGGUGCGAAAGCGUGGGGAGCAAAACAGGAUUAGAUACCCUGGUAGUCCACGCUGUAAACGAUGUCGACUUGGAGGUUGUGCCCUUGAGGCGUGGCUUCCGGAGCUAACGCGUUAAGUCGACCGCCUGGGGGAGUACGGCCGCAAGGUUAAAAAC